Molecule: long non-coding RNA, 797 nt
Organism: Numida meleagris (helmeted guineafowl)
Lineage: Eukaryota; Metazoa; Chordata; Aves; Galliformes; Numididae
Exons: 3
Source: RefSeq, a predicted model, not a curated record
CCUCAUUUAAGUGUUGGCAGGGGCGGCAAGGGUAUUUUGCUGAAGUUCCCUGCCUACUGGAGGCCUUCCAAAGUUUCCAUUCAAUGAGUAGCAGAGCUGCAAAAGGAGAAGGAAUGUGAAGUGCUGGGGCAGAGGAAGCGCAGCCGCCUCCUCCCUGCUGCAGGGGAUGUGGAGCAAAGAAGCCACCUCACACUGAAUGACCGAGCAAGGCUGUAGUGCCUUACAGACAAGAUGGCACCGACUAAACCUAAAAAAUGACUAACUGCCAAGAUAAUGCAAGGAAUAAUGAGGUUACAACAGCAGCAAAGACGCUAAGAAAACUGAUGUGUUAUCUCUUCACGGAGUUCACCACAAAGGAAUAAAAUGCUUCAUCUUUAAAAUGGAUGGGUCUAAAAUUUGAGAUCACAGCUCUGCUUAUCAGGACAUGCUGAUGGAUUGGAUUAUGCGGCAGUCACAUGGAGGAGCCUUUGCCCAUGUUUGAUUUUGUAAAAUUAGUUCUUGUCUGCAACGUAUCACUUUUGUACUGAGGGGAGAAAACUAGUUUGCUGAGAACUACUUGAAUUAAACUUUAAAAAUAAAAGGAACAUCAGCAAUAAGUUCAGCUUUCUAAUGAGACAAAUCCUAGAACUCACUUGUGACUUGGACUGCAGGACAAGAAAAAUUAGGAAAUCUUCUUGUAGUGCCGCACAUGUUAAGCAGGCCCUGGACCCGGGCUGCUCCUCACAGCAGAUGUGUGAGGAGGUCAGGGAGUGGGUGCAGACUUGGCUCCUGCACAGCUUUGACCAUUGCCACUGAUA